Molecule: unclassified non-coding RNA, 159 nt
Filed under: uncultured Roesleria
Lineage: Eukaryota; Fungi; Ascomycota; Leotiomycetes; Helotiales
Description: sequence contains ITS1
Source: RNAcentral
CAGAGUUCCUGCCCUCACGGGUAGAAACCCCACCCUUGUGUAUUAUAUAUUGUUGCUUUGGCGGGCCGCCCCCUCGGGCACCGGCUCACGCUGGCUCGCGCCCGCCAAAGAACCCCAAACUCUGAAGUAUAGUGUCGUCUGAGUACUAUUUAAUAGUUA